This 253-nucleotide ribosomal RNA is filed under the name uncultured bacterium. RNAcentral's name for it is "partial 16S ribosomal RNA". It matches the Rfam family "Bacterial small subunit ribosomal RNA", at positions 524 to 776 of the family's 1533-position model. The record is from RNAcentral.
UACGGGGGGGGCAAGCGUUGUUCGGAAUUACUGGGCGUAAAGGGCGCGUAGGCGGCCGAUCAAGUCGGAGGUGAAAUCCCUCGGCUCAACUGAGGAAUUGCCUUCGAUACUGUUCGGCUUGAGUCCUGGAGAGGGUAGCGGAAUUCCCGGUGUAGCGGUGAAAUGCGUAGAGACCGGGAAGAACACCAGUGGCGAAGGCGGCUACCUGGACAGGUACUGACGCUGAAGCGCGAAAGCUAGGGGAGCAAACAGG